UACGAAGGGGGCUAGCGUUGCUCGGAAUUACUGGGCGUAAAGGGCGCGUAGGCGGCACUGUUAGUCAGGCGUGAAAGUCCUGGGCUCAACCUGGGAACUGCGCUUGAUACGGCAGAGCUAGAGGAUGGGAAGAGGCUCGCGGAAUUCCCAGUGUAGAGAUGAAAUUCGUAGAUAUUGGGAAGAACACCGGUGGCGAAGGCGGCGAGCCUGGUCCAUUACUGACGCUGAGGCGCGACAGCGUGGGGAGCAAACAGG
RNAcentral lists this ribosomal RNA (255 nucleotides) under uncultured bacterium. RNAcentral's name for it is "partial 16S ribosomal RNA". It matches the Rfam family "Bacterial small subunit ribosomal RNA", at positions 524 to 776 of the family's 1533-position model. The record is from RNAcentral.